This 87-nucleotide transfer RNA is filed under the name Sphingopyxis sp. LC81. Its description in RNAcentral is "tRNA-Gly". The record is from RNAcentral. Lineage: Bacteria; Pseudomonadati; Pseudomonadota; Alphaproteobacteria; Sphingomonadales; Sphingopyxidaceae.
GCCGGCGCCGGAUGGCGGUCAAUAUUCGCCUUGCUCCCGCCGAGGCGGUUGCCGACUUGCCGAUCGAUCAUUUCGACGGCGCCGACA